This is a non-coding RNA of Potamilus streckersoni, 73 nucleotides long. The record is from the annotation of a GenBank genome assembly. NCBI's taxonomy places the organism in Eukaryota, Metazoa, Mollusca, Bivalvia, Unionida, Unionidae.
GAUCCGGUGGAUUAGUGGCUAGAGCAUCCGCCUCGGAUGCGGUAGGUCCUGGGUUCGAUCCUCGGCCGAGUCA